RNAcentral lists this unclassified non-coding RNA (790 nucleotides) under Hevea brasiliensis (rubber tree). The record is from RNAcentral. Lineage: Eukaryota; Viridiplantae; Streptophyta; Magnoliopsida; Malpighiales; Euphorbiaceae.
GUAAGGGUUUUAGGCUAAUUAGAAGUAAGACAUAAAGUUUGCAUUAUGAGUUUAGCUUUCGUAGAAGGAAUGUAAGUGAAGUUCAUUGGAUGAAUUUUUAUAGCCAAAAUGCAACCAAUUCAUUUAUUUAGGUUCUAUCAUUAAUAAUAACAAAGUAAUAAUAAGGAUGUAACUUACAGGAUCAAAACAUGGAUGAAGUGAGGAGUGCAAUGGGUAUGCUAUGCGACUGUAGCAUCUUUGACAAAGUGAAAAGGCAAGUUUUAUAAAACUGGCCUGGUAUAUUGUAUGGGAGUGAAUGCUGAGCAUUUAAGGUACAAUAAAAAAAGAAGUGACCUAGUGCACAAAGUAUCUCACACUUGUAGGCUCUAGGGAGGAUUAAUUAAGUGUGCUAGAAAAACAGAUAUUAAGAUAGAUGUUUGGUAAUAUAAUAAUGGAUAAAAAUUAGGAAUGACCAUAUUAGCCAGAGAAUGCAUGUAGCACACAUUGGAGAUGAAAUGAGAGAUGAUCCAUUAAGAUGGUUUAGUCAUGCCUAAUGUAGGCCUUUGAGUGUCCUAAUAUGGAAGUGUCAUAAGUUUAGUGGUAAAAUUAGUGAAAAGGGAAAAGAGAGACCUAAAAUGAUGUGGAGGGCAGCAUAGUUGUCAAAAGUGCGCUUGAGGCGCAUGGCGCAUCGAGCUUGAAGGGGAUCACCUCAGGCACCAAAAGGCGGGUGACCUCACAAAGGCGCAGAGAGGGGCAAGGCACGCUUAGGUGAGGUGGGGGAAGAAAAAGACCAAAAAGAUGAAAAAAGGAG